This 301-nucleotide ribosomal RNA is filed under the name Bacillus paranthracis. RNAcentral's name for it is "partial 16S ribosomal RNA". It matches the Rfam family "Bacterial small subunit ribosomal RNA", at positions 1 to 289 of the family's 1533-position model. Lineage: Bacteria; Bacillati; Bacillota; Bacilli; Caryophanales; Bacillaceae. The record is from RNAcentral.
UUUAUUGGAGAGUUUGAUCCUGGCUCAGGAUGAACGCUGGCGGCGUGCCUAAUACAUGCAAGUCGAGCGAAUGGAUUAAGAGCUUGCUCUUAUGAAGUUAGCGGCGGACGGGUGAGUAACACGUGGGUAACCUGCCCAUAAGACUGGGAUAACUCCGGGAAACCGGGGCUAAUACCGGAUAACAUUUUGAACCGCAUGGUUCGAAAUUGAAAGGCGGCUUCGGCUGUCACUUAUGGAUGGACCCGCGUCGCAUUAGCUAGUUGGUGAGGUAACGGCUCACCAAGGCAACGAUGCGUAGCCG